RNAcentral lists this ribosomal RNA (424 nucleotides) under Shigella sonnei. Its description in RNAcentral is "bacterial SSU rRNA". It matches the Rfam family "Bacterial small subunit ribosomal RNA", at positions 271 to 687 of the family's 1533-position model. Lineage: Bacteria; Pseudomonadati; Pseudomonadota; Gammaproteobacteria; Enterobacterales; Enterobacteriaceae. The record is from RNAcentral.
AGGCGACGAUCCCUAGCUGGUCUGAGAGGAUGACCAGCCACACUGGAACUGAGACACGGUCCAGACUCCUACGGGAGGCAGCAGUGGGGAAUAUUGCACAAUGGGCGCAAGCCUGAUGCAGCCAUGCCGCGUGUAUGAAGAAGGCCUUCGGGUUGUAAAGUACUUUCAGCGGGGAGGAAGGGAGUAAAGUUAAUACCUUUGCUCAUUGACGUUACCCGCAGAAGAAGCACCGGCUAACUCCGUGCCAGCAGCCGCGGUAAUACGGAGGGUGCAAGCGUUAAUCGGAAUUACUGGGCGUAAAGCGCACGCAGGCGGUUUGUUAAGUCAGAUGUGAAAUCCCCGGGCUCAACCUGGGAACUGCAUCUGAUACUGGCAAGCUUGAGUCUCGUAGAGGGGGGUAGAAUUCCAGGUGUAGCGGUGAAAU